UCAGAGUGAUAGUCUGUCACAGACAACUGCCUCUCCUGAAUCAAGUUGCCCAUGAAAAACAAUGGAGUUGUUUCUGGGUUUCUUGGGCCAGUCUCAGAAGACCACCGACAUGGCAGGGAUGGGAGGAACCCCAAAAUAUUACCAUUGGCUCAUCAGGACAAGAUCUCUCUGACUUGAAACUUCAGCAGUGGCCAGUGACUCUGAAAGUCCACCAUACUGACCCUGCUGGGCUUCCUGUUUAUGAAAGAAUGACCAGUCACUAG
RNAcentral lists this long non-coding RNA (263 nucleotides) under Monodelphis domestica (gray short-tailed opossum). Its description in RNAcentral is "lncRNA (ENSMODG00000045852.1)". Lineage: Eukaryota; Metazoa; Chordata; Mammalia; Didelphimorphia; Didelphidae. The record is from RNAcentral.